UAAAUGCAACGCGCCACCUGAUCGGGAA
Molecule: small RNA, 28 nt
Filed under: Bombyx mori (domestic silkworm)
Lineage: Eukaryota; Metazoa; Arthropoda; Insecta; Lepidoptera; Bombycidae
Description: ovarian small RNA-18489
Source: RNAcentral